CUCGAAAGAGUGAACUAGCUAACUGGAAUCACUAGUAUCUCACUAGAGAAAUAGUAAUGGGAAAACACUGAUAUUACCUUACUAAAGUGCCGUCCAAAUCUGGUGCCAGCAGACGCGGUAAGACCAGAGGCGCAAACGUUAAUCUUCAUAAACAGGCGUAAAGGGUUUGUAGGCGGCUUGUAUUUUUACAGGCUAGAAUCAAAUAGAGGUAACUUAAAGAAUAAUUAGAGUAGGGAUUAAAUCCAAAGAUCCUAAGGAGAAUACUAAAGGCGAAAGCAUUAUACCAAUACUGAUUGACGCUGAGAAACGAAAGUGAGGGUAGGGAACAGGAUUAGAGACCCUGAAACUCCUCACUGUCAACGAUGAAUGGUAGCUCCUAGUUUUUAAAGCCAGAGGCGCAGUAAACACGAUAACCAUUCCGCCUUGUUAGUAAAACUGCAAAGUUGAAAACAAAAAAAUUUGCCGGAUUUGGAGCAAACGAAGUGAAGCAU
Molecule: ribosomal RNA, 491 nt
Filed under: Laetiporus sp. PR-914
Lineage: Eukaryota; Fungi; Basidiomycota; Agaricomycetes; Polyporales; Laetiporaceae
Also listed under: 1 other name
Description: SSU rRNA
Rfam family: Bacterial small subunit ribosomal RNA
Source: RNAcentral